GGGGAUGUAGCUCAAUGGUAGAGUGCAUGCUUUGUAUGUAUGAGGUCCUCGGUUCAAUCCCCAGUAUCUCCA
This is a non-coding RNA of Oreochromis niloticus (Nile tilapia), 72 nucleotides long. NCBI's taxonomy places the organism in Eukaryota, Metazoa, Chordata, Actinopteri, Cichliformes, Cichlidae. The record is from the annotation of a RefSeq genome assembly.